GAUGAACGCUGGCGGCGUGCCUAAUACAUGCAAGUCGAGCGAACAGACGAGGCGCUUGCUCCUCUUACGUUAGCGGCGGACGGGGGAGUAACACGUGGAUAACCUACCUAUAAGACUGGGAUAACUUCGGGAAACCGGAGCUAAUACCGGAUAAUAUAUUGAACCGCAUGGUUCAAUAGUGAAAGACGGCUUUGCUGUCACUUAUAGAUGGAUCCGCGCCGCAUUAGCUAGUGGGUAAGGUAACGGCUUACCAAGGCGACGACGCGUAGCCGAUCUGAGAGGAUGACCGGCCACACUGGAACUGAGACACGGUCCAGAUUCCUACGGGAGGCAGCAGUAGGGAAUAUUGCACAAUGGGCGCAAGCUUGACGGAGCAACGCCGCGUGAAUGAUGAAGGUCUUCGGAUCGUAAAGCUCUGUUAGUAGGGAGGAAGAAAUGUGUGAGAAACUAUGCGCGUAUUGACGUUACCUAAACAAGAAGCCACGGCUAACUACGUG
RNAcentral lists this ribosomal RNA (497 nucleotides) under uncultured bacterium. RNAcentral's name for it is "partial 16S ribosomal RNA". It matches the Rfam family "Bacterial small subunit ribosomal RNA", at positions 28 to 507 of the family's 1533-position model. The record is from RNAcentral.